Long non-coding RNA from Lytechinus pictus (painted urchin), 3617 nucleotides. RefSeq lists it as uncharacterized. The record is from RefSeq and is a predicted model, not a curated record. NCBI's taxonomy places the organism in Eukaryota, Metazoa, Echinodermata, Echinoidea, Temnopleuroida, Toxopneustidae. The transcript has 2 exons.
AUUACUGCAGCUUGCUAGCAGAAGACAGACAGCACAGUGCAGUAGCUCGCUCCGAUCCCACCGUACGUAAUGUGUGCAGACAUUACACACUGCAUGUAAACAAACGGUAUAAUAUGCAUUGCCACAUUUACUUGUGUUAUUCGAAGUGAGACGCAAGUGAGAAACCCGGACUGCUCCGUGCGUGUAAUGUACGUACGUGGAAACAAUAAUUUCUCAGUCACUCAGCUUUUAGAAUACUGGAUAUUUUGCGUUUGUGUUAAUCUACAGUUAAAAGUGAUUGUUUCAUAACCGUCUGGUAUUGUAAUUACAAGACUGUGAGCAGUACUUCUGGAAUUCGAGGAUCUGCAGGUAUACUGUGAACGAUUGACUGUGGGGCCUACGUCCUGUACCAGCACGUCGACUCAUCUCGACCCCAGGAGCUCUGGCUGAGGUGAACGGAAUAUCUCUGUAGUAAGUCCCGCUAGACCGUGAGGAUAUCCACACUUCGCUGCAUUGAUUAAACUUCUGUUAAACCUUCCCGUCCUUUCAGCUCUGGGUUUAUCUUCCCGUUACUGAUGUUUCGGAGAGGCAUACUGUAGAUUCAAAGGUUUCUCGUUCAUGAGAGGGUUUCAAUGUUUCAUUUCUACGGCUUCUGAUGCUGAUAUUCUCCCAUUUGCAUUUUGGAAAAGAAGCCCCUCAGCCCGUCAAUCAUCGGAUAAGAUCCUUCACUUCACCAAUAUUAGGGAGGGAGUCUCGGUGUGAGCCACCAUUCUUGAAGUCGCCUUCGGUCCAUGUACGCUCUUCUCCUGCAUCUCUCUACGCAAUAAUUGACUUUUUUUUUCAACCUUAUUCACGAAAUCAUCUCCACAUUGGAUCAAAACUCCAAACUAAUUUUUCAUUUUCAUGACAUGCUUACCCUGCCGUUGGCUGCGUUUGAGGCGAGUCUUAUCAGAAAUGAUUGAAUGAAACGCUGAUUAAUCCCAUCACAGUGUCUUCUACUCAUGUAACGCAGAGUUAUUUCAAGCCAAGGAAUCACAGAGGCGUAGAGCCAGCUUGAAUUCAUCGGCAGUGUUUCGCUAAUGAACCCCCUGUGUCGUCUAAUAUCAGCAAAUGAAACUAACUUAAUGAGUUUUUUGUUUACAUUGUGUUUCCCGCUUCAUUCAGUUAUUCAAUCUAAUUCGACGCAGGUUAAUUACCACCACUGAUUUCCCCCUUCGGUUUUUUUUUCAUUUCCAUGGCCCCUUUAACCCUCCUUUGACUUUAAUCAACUCAACUCAAUUGCGGUGUAUGUCAUUAGCGCGAGUUCGGAAAAUUGGUAAACACUCUGCUUCAAUUUGUGGUGGAGCGCAAAGAGAGGGGUCUAUUUUCUCUGCCUAUUGUAAGGACCGACAAAGGUUUGGUUACGGAGCCCGGGUUUAAUUCAUUACGGGUCCAUUCAAUCCAGCGAAGAGUAGAUAAAGUAUCGGUGCAUUUCAUCGGUCUGCCUACCCCCGGAUUCUUCAUUAGAUGUUAGAAGCUGGGAUCAUCUCCGACAUAAAAAUACAUUCAUCAGAAGCAUCUCCAGCUCCGUCUUCUUCGUCAUCUUCGAAUUUUGCCAGACUGAGGAGCUACCACGGUGACUGCCUGCUUUGGCACUGUGUAGUAUUUCGUAUAGCAUCUUUCAUACCAAGGGAACAGUGUUACAUUUUCCACUCUUCAUAAAUCUCAUUUUAUUCUUUUUUUCAAAGGAGCUGAGAUAUUAUAUUUCAUGUGAGUUAUAUAUUUACUCUCCUCUUGAUGCCUAUUUUUUAUUACUGUGAUUCAUAAUCCAGCACCUUGCCGGGAAUUUCAUUUCAAGAUCUCAAGAUUUUUUUUUUCGGAGUGGUUCAGGAGGAAGGCAACAUAAUUGCGAAAUAACUGUCAACCCUCAGCACCGAGGAAGUUGAUCGAACAAACGAGUUGCGGACGACGUGAAUAGAUUAUUAUAUCGAGUUUUGAUAAUAGGCAUUGUGCACCUGUGCAUACAUCGAACCAACCCUCGCUUAUAACCCUUCGAUGAGCCCGCCAUCUACAAACAUGUCUCACACACAGGAUCGGAGCCAAAUCGUAGACAAAGCUCUCCUGUGUUUGAGGAAGAGAAGGUAUUGAUCAGAUAAAGCAGCCCACACUGGUCGUUUUAAAAGGUUUCGCACUUGAUGAAUUAGUUGAUGGAAGGUUCGUUGAAAUCACACUCGCGGCUUCUAAUCAGCCAUUUAUCUAAGGAAAAGCACUUUACUCUAAACAUGGCCAACUCGGCACCUGCCUUAGGAAAGAGAUGGCAGUAUCGACAUCGUUCAGAGUCCCCCACCAACCAGGGGACAAAAUCUCCCGCAAUAUUCCAAGAUAGAUUUGUUUUCAUGAGGCCCUCUCCUCCGUGUCCUCGUGGUCCCUUUCUUUCGGGUAUUGUUACUCAUUCAAAUCCGAUACUUUCUGAAUGGUGAAUGUAUGAAUAUUAGCCCGAGGUAAUCAGUUUCAUGUUCCACUUAUGCACUCUUAUAUCGCGCGAGCGAUGCAUUAAAAAUUUUGGCGAUGCUUUCAAAAAACCCUUUGCAAUUUUUAUUUAUGGAACAUUUUCUUUCAUGUCAUAUAAUUGCAUGACCAUUGAUAUCUUUGGUUGGAUCACAUUGAUAUGAAUCUACCAGUACAAUGUCAGUAACUACUUUCUAGUUCUGUAGUAAAGAUUCAAGUAGAUGAUUUGAAUCAACACAGUUCGUUCAAAUAUCUGACCUCUGAUCUCGAAUAAUCAUGAUACUCUUUACAGCUAUAAAAAUAUUUGUACGUAUUAAAUCGGAGGGGGUACAACUGAACGAUUAUGAUCUUGAUAACAAUUACAUCAGGGAUGGCAUUAAUAAGGCGAAACGAUAAAUAUAUAUUUUACAAUAUGAAUCAUAAGAAUAUACAGCCUGGUUUGGGAAUGUAGUGCUCUUUGUAUACAUACAUUGUAUACCGGCAUGCUUUUCCGGGCGGCAUUCCCCAUUUGUAGGGGCAACAUUGAAGUUAGAAAGUGCACUUAAGAUAUGCUCUCUGCAUAUUAAUAACCUCCCAUCCGUGCACUUUAGGUAGAUCAAAUUUGUUAUGCUGAAUACAGUGAUAACAGCCACCGAAACACUCUGCAAAUUUCAUGUAAAAUGUAUCUACAUGUUCAUGUUUAAUAUAUCAUCUAAAUUUUGUCCGUGUAUGGAUUAAUUUGUGACGUCAGUUCGUCUAUGUUUUCACCCAUAAUCCCGAUUAUGUUUUUAAUGUAGUGUAAUUAGGCUGUUGCGCGAAUGCAUAUGGGAAAUAAGCAUGAUUGUAUGUAGGCAAUGCAAAUCACUUUCUGCAAGGCCUCAUGCAGCGCAUGUCGUAUAGACAGGAUUCAUUAAUAUGAUAUAUCACAACAUGAUUAUACAUGUUUAACUACAUUAUUACUAUUAGUGAUCAACGUGAUCAGCGGUAAUCAUGGUAUUAAACAGCUUAAGGCAGAUAUGAAUUUCCUGUUUUUUGCAUAUUGUUUGUAAAUAACUUAUUCGAAUCACUAAUUCGAUGUUUACUAUACAUUCAACGAUGACAAGAAGCAUGCAUGAAGUUGGCAGAAUUGAGGUACUGACAGUACAUGAAAUGCAAAGGAUGGGGGUUUAUAU